UUUGCUUUUAUUUUUUCAUGUUCAAGUGGUUGAAACCUUGAAAGAAGGUUGGAACUGAUUAACACACAGCAAGAAUCAGUGUCCUUUUUAAAUCACCAAGCUGGCAGAACAAGCUAGAGCGGCCUGGGCUGGCGUGCAUACAUAGCGGAUUUUGUCUCAGAAACACAAAACUAUGUAUUUUCAAGACAAAAUCUGCUACAUGUGUCUGCAUACAGAGUAACACUGUGCCUAUCUGUGCAGAUACAGGAAGCAGCAGACGGGAGUACAUUGGCUUUUCUGUUCUUGUGUAGAAAAUGCAGGCAGAGAAGAGCUGAUCUUCAGCCCUGCAUGCCAUUAGCCUCAGGAAGAGCUGGUAUCUUGUUACCUGCCCAUUGAUCUGCUGAUAGGCUGCUGGGGGGCAGGGGAAGAGAGCAUUUGACAUCAUGUCAGUUUGCAGUGUAGCAGUAAAGAGAGACUGAAGCUUAUCAAGUCACAAGGCUUAGGGGGCAUGGGAAAGUAUGAAAAUGGCUUGGCUCAUAUCAAAUUUCAAAUUAAAUACAUUGCAUAAGAAUAUCUACAGUAUUUUCCCUUUUAAAAAGCUGAUUCCAGUACAAGAUUCUGUUCAAAGCUAUCAACUAAUGUGUUUAGAAAAAAAAAAACAGUUUCCCUGUGACAGAAUCCCUCUAAACAUAUAAAGCUGUUCAUUAUACAAGGAGUGUAUGUGUAGACUGGUUAUUUUGUUAUGGGGGAUGUUUCUCCAGAGACCUAAAAACCAGAGAAUGUAUCUCUCCUAACAUAUCUGGUAAAAUAUGUCCCCAGAUAUCCUGAGGCUGUACCUUUGGAGAAGAAGAAACAAUUGGAAAAAUUCAAUCAACUAUUUGAUGAUGGGCAGGUUGUACUGGCCAGAGUACCAGAAGAAGAACCACCUAAUAAGGCGAUUCCCAUCAUCUCUUUCUUAUUUUCUCCCAAAUGAUUUAUCAUUAUGAGAGUGGGCCCUGGAUGUGAGGUUUACAGACACCAAAUGCGAAGUGGAGGAGAGGCCAGCCUAGAGUAACAUGGUGACAUACAGUUGGAGCAGAACAAGCAACAAACAUGGGGAACAGUCAUAAAACUGGACAAAGAAAGACAGAAGUGGAAGCCCUCUUUUGUCGCCGCCUUAUAAGCCAGUGGAUGUAACAAAGGAUGAUAACUAUUUUCAAAUACUUAUGUAGCAAUAGAAGUUAAAAAAAGUCUCCUGAUAAGUUAGAUACUGCAGAACAUAAACAAUAAACCGAGUAAAGAUUGCUCUGGUCUAGAGUAACAACAGGAAUUGAAAAAGGCUAAUGUCACAUGGGAUAGAGAAACCCUCAACAGCUCCCAGUAACUUAAAUAAAAGCCACACAAAGCCAACAAGUGUGAACCUUUCUCCACCUGAAAAUGGUUCUUCACCAGUAGAGAAUCAUGACAUGUGACAAUAGCCUAUGCAGUUAGCUCUUAUUAGUCGAGAUCAGUGAUCCCCUAUCAGUGGCUCCUAAUGGCCUCCAAGUAGGUGCCCAUUUUUAAAUUUUUGGCUUGAAGGCAAAAUUUUGGAAGCAGAGACACAGUU
Xenopus tropicalis (tropical clawed frog) is the source of this 1564-nucleotide long non-coding RNA. RefSeq lists it as uncharacterized. The record is from RefSeq and is a predicted model, not a curated record. Lineage: Eukaryota; Metazoa; Chordata; Amphibia; Anura; Pipidae. The transcript is spliced from 3 exons.